This 254-nucleotide ribosomal RNA is filed under the name uncultured bacterium. RNAcentral's name for it is "partial 16S ribosomal RNA". It matches the Rfam family "Bacterial small subunit ribosomal RNA", at positions 15 to 278 of the family's 1533-position model. The record is from RNAcentral.
GUUCAUGGCUCAGGAUGAACGCUGGCGGCGUGCCUAACACAUGCAAGUCGAGCGAACUUCUUCGGAAGUGAGCGGCGGACGGGUGAGUAACGCGUGGGUAACCUGCCCUAUACACACGGAUAACGUACCGAAAGGUACGCUAAUACGAGAUAACAUAUUUUUAUCGCAUGGUAAGAAUAUCAAAGCUCUGGAGGUAUAGGAUGGACCCGCGUCUGAUUAGCUAGUUGGUAAGGUAACGGCUUACCAAGGCGACG